Molecule: unclassified non-coding RNA, 222 nt
Filed under: Glomeraceae sp.
Lineage: Eukaryota; Fungi; Glomeromycota; Glomeromycetes; Glomerales; Glomeraceae
Description: partial contains 5.8S ribosomal RNA and internal transcribed spacer 2
Rfam family: 5.8S ribosomal RNA (bases 1-72)
Source: RNAcentral
GUGAAUCAUCGAAUUUUUGAACGCAAAUUGCACUCUCCGGUUUUCCGGGAGAGUAUGCCUGUUUGAGGGUCAGCCUAAAAAAAAUCGACAUUGUUGCUGUUAUUUAAUGGUGACUUUCGUCGGAGAUUGGGUUAUCUUAAACCUUUUUUUUUUUGUUUUAACCGAUUAAAAUUUUUUUUUCCCAUUUCCAUAAACUUUUUAAAAAUUUUUUUUUUUUAUACU